GAGUUUGAUCAUGGCUCAGGACGAACGCUGGCGGCGUGCCUAAUACAUGCAAGUAGAACGCUGAAGAGAGGAGCUUGCUCUUCUUGGAUGAGUUGCGAACGGGUGAGUAACGCGUAGGUAACCUGCCUUGUAGCGGGGGAUAACUAUUGGAAACGAUAGCUAAUACCGCAUAACAAUAGGUGACACAUGUCAUUUAUUUGAAAGGGGCAAUUGCUCCACUACAAGAUGGACCUGCGUUGUAUUAGCUAGUAGGUGAGGUAACGGCUCACCUAGGCGACGAUACAUAGCCGACCUGAGAGGGUGAUCGGCCACACUGGGACUGAGACACGGCCCAGACUCCUACGGGAGGCAGCAGUAGGGAGUCUUCGGCAAUGGGGGCAACCCUGACCGAGCAACGCCGCGUGAGUGAAGAAGGUUUUCGGAUCGUAAAGCUCUGUUGUAAGUCAAGAACGAGUGUGAGAGUGGAAAGUUCACACUGUGACGGUAGCUUACCAGAAAGGGACGGCUAACUACGUGCCAGCAGCCGCGGUAAUACGUAGGUCCCGAGCGUUGUCCGGAUUUAUUGGGCGUAAAGCGAGCGCAGGCGGUUUGAUAAGUCUGAAGUUAAAGGCUGUGGCUCAACCAUAGUUCGCUUUGGAAACUGUCAAACUUGAGUGCAGAAGGGGAGAGUGGAAUUCCAUGUGUAGCGGUGAAAUGCGUAGAUAUAUGGAGGAACACCGGUGGCGAAAGCGGCUCUCUGGUCUGUAACUGACGCUGAGGCUCGAAAGCGUGGGGAGCGAACAGGAUUAGAUACCCUGGUAGUCCACGCCGUAAACGAUGAGUGCUAGGUGUUGGAUCCUUUCCGGGAUUCAGUGCCGCAGCUAACGCAUUAAGCACUCCGCCUGGGGAGUACGACCGCAAGGUUGAAACUCAAAGGAAUUGACGGGGGCCCGCACAAGCGGUGGAGCGUGUGGUUUAAUUCGAAGCAACGCGAAGAACCUUACCAGGUCUUGACAUCCCGAUGCUAUUUCUAGAGAUAGAAAGUUACUUCGGUACAUCGGUGACAGGUGGUGCAUGGUUGUCGUCAGCUCGUGUCGUGAGAUGUUGGGUUAAGUCCCGCAACGAGCGCAACCCCUAUUGUUAGUUGCCAUCAUUCAGUUGGGCACUCUAGCGAGACUGCCGGUAAUAAACCGGAGGAAGGUGGGGAUGACGUCAAAUCAUCAUGCCCCUUAUGACCUGGGCUACACACGUGCUACAAUGGUUGGUACAACGAGUUGCGAGUCGGUGACGGCAAGCUAAUCUCUUAAAGCCAAUCUCAGUUCGGAUUGUAGGCUGCAACUCGCCUACAUGAAGUCGGAAUCGCUAGUAGUCGCGGAUCAGCACGCCGCGGUGAAUACGUUCCCGGGCCUUGCACACACCGCCCGUCAAA
Molecule: ribosomal RNA, 1408 nt
Filed under: uncultured bacterium
Lineage: Bacteria
Description: bacterial SSU rRNA
Rfam family: Bacterial small subunit ribosomal RNA
Source: RNAcentral